This 742-nucleotide ribosomal RNA is filed under the name bacterium enrichment culture clone DB2. RNAcentral describes it as "bacterial SSU rRNA". It matches the Rfam family "Bacterial small subunit ribosomal RNA", at positions 9 to 749 of the family's 1533-position model. The record is from RNAcentral.
GAGUUUGAUCCUGGCUCAGGAUGAACGCUAGCGGGAGGCCUAACACAUGCAAGCCGAGCGGUAGAGAGUAGCUUGCUACUCUUGAGAGCGGCGCACGGGUGCGUAACACGUGUGCAACCUACCUUUAUCUGGGGGAUAGCCUUUCGAAAGGAAGAUUAAUACCCCAUAAUAUAUUGACUGGCAUCAGUUGAUAUUGAAAACUCCGGUGGAUAGAGAUGGGCACGCGCAAGAUUAGAUAGUUGGUGAGGUAACGGCUCACCAAGUCAAUGAUCUUUAGGGGUCCUGAGAGGGAGAUCCCCCACACUGGUACUGAGACACGGACCAGACUCCUACGGGAGGCAGCAGUGAGGAAUAUUGGACAAUGGGUGAGAGCCUGAUCCAGCCAUCCCGCGUGAAGGAUGACGGCCCUAUGGGUUGUAAACUUCUUUUGUACAGGGAUAAACCUACCCUCGUGAGGGUAGCUGAAGGUACUGUACGAAUAAGCACCGGCUAACUCCGUGCCAGCAGCCGCGGUAAUACGGAGGGUGCAAGCGUUAUCCGGAUUUAUUGGGUUUAAAGGGUCCGUAGGCGGAUCUGUAAGUCAGUGGUGAAAUCUCGCAGCUUAACUGCGAAACUGCCAUUGAUACUGCAGGUCUUGAGUAAAUUUGAAGUGGCUGGAAUAAGUAGUGUAGCGGUGAAAUGCAUAGAUAUUACUUAGAACACCAAUUGCGAAGGCAGGUCACUAAGAUUUAACUGACGCUGA